Long non-coding RNA from Oncorhynchus mykiss (rainbow trout), 2990 nucleotides. NCBI's taxonomy places the organism in Eukaryota, Metazoa, Chordata, Actinopteri, Salmoniformes, Salmonidae. The record is from Ensembl.
UGUUUACAUUUUGUUUAUGGCUAUAGCUUGUGGUAAAGCGAAUUAGAAUUCCAUUCUGAUUCGAAACAAUGUGCAAUGACGUGUUCCAUCUCUAUGCGACCGAGAGGGUCACAAUGCCGACGCUUCACAUGGAACUCCAGAACCCAAGAGAUAUGUCCAGAACUCUCAAUAAAUCGUCAGUUCUUGAUCGACAAACAACGAGAGAGACAGCAUUAUUAUGGCAAGCUUUUCAUUCAUCUUCCCUGAAGACAGACGUUGUUCCAUUAAGGACAACGAAGUCAAUUCAGGUAUGAACAAUAACAUACAUUUCCGUCUGUAAAUACAAAUAUUAAUUGAAGGUGUAAUUCCUACUGGAAAGGAAAUAAAAAACAACAUAGAAGAUACGGCUUUAGGGGUUUGUUGUUAGUUACCAAACAAUGUAACCAUGCGAAAUGAAGUUUUCCAGCUGACAAUGGUUUUAUUUUGGCCAAUGAAAAUGCUUUAUGUCCCAAUUAUCUCUCUCUCUUCCACCCAAAAUGUGCACUUGUUCCCCUCCCUUUACUGAUUUGAAAGGAAAUGACUGGUAUAUUAAAUAUGGCUAAAACUCUACCUAGCCCCUACUAGCCGAAUGUUUUUAGAUUUGUGGGAAGUGGUGAAUGAGUGCACACUUCAGCAGAAAUGAGAUGUUAUUGGGAUGCAUGAAGAAUAUGAAGAAUGCAAUGAAGAAUAUCCCUUAAUUGUAAUGCUGAAAUCAGUUUAGUUAACCCUGUGUUGGUGUUUCUGUCAGGGUGGAUGUCAACGGUGACCCAACUCAACGCCCUUGGUGGUCCAGAGUCAGAGAGUCGGAAAAUUGUUCAGAGCUUUGCAGAGGUACUUGGUGACAAGUACCACUACGAGAAUGCCAUCGACAGCUCUCUGCUCUGGACUGUUGGGUACACCCCCUACAUUCCCCCAGCUCUGAAAGGAAGAAGCUUCCCUUCUGUCGAGAGCUUCUUCCUGGAUGAGUGGGAGCCACUGACACUCCUGCAGACUUCUCAGGUUCUGUCCACCAGUGUUUCCAUCGAGGAAGACAACCGGAUCCAGUCUGCUGCAGGCCUAGUGUCUCAGGUUCUGUCCACCAGUGUUUCCAUCGUGGAGAAUGACCUGAUCCAGUCUGCUGCAGGCCUAGUGUCUCAGGUUCUGUCCACCAGUGUUUCCAUCGUGGAGAAUGACCUGAUCCAGUCUGCUGCAGUCCUAGUGUCUCAGGUUCUGUCCACCAGUGUUGCCAUCGUGGAGAAUGACCUGAUUCAGUCUGCUGCAGGCCUAGUGUCUCAGGUUCUGUCCACCAGUGUUUCCAUCGUGGAGAAUGACCUGAUCCAGUCUGCUGCAGUCCUAGUGUCUCAGGUUCUGUCCACCAGUGUUUCCAUCGAGGAAGACAACCUGAUCCAGUCUGCUGCAGGCCUAGUGUCUCAGGUUCUGUCCACCAGUGUUACCAUCAUGGAGAAUGACCUGAUCCAGUCUGCUGCAGUCCUAGUGUCUCAGGUUCUGUCCACCAGUGUUACCAUCAUGGAGAAUGACCUGAUCCAGUCUGCUGCAGGCCUAGUGUCUCAGGUUAUGUCCACCAGUGUUUCCAUCGUGGAGAAAGACCUGAUCCAGUCUGCUGCAGUCCUAGUGUCUCAGGUUCUGUCCACCAGUGUUGCCAUCGUGGAGAAUGACCUGAUCCAGUCUGCUGCAGGCCUAGUGUCUCAGGUUCUGUCCACCAGUGUUACCAUCGUGGAGAAUGACCUGAUCCAGUCUGCUGCAGGCCUAGUGUCUCAGGUUCUGUCCACCAGUGUUUCCAUCGAGGAAGACAACCUGAUCCAGUCUGCUGCAGGCCUAGUGUCUCAGGUUCUGUCCACCAGUGUUACCAUCGUGGAGAAUGACCUGAUCCAGUCUGCUGCAGGCCUAGUGUCUCAGGUUCUGUCCAGCAGUGACGCUAGAGUGAAGGAUCGUGAUGAUUCCACACUGAGAGACUCCAACCAACCUGAGGUCCAUGUGGCUGAUGUCUCAACCAAGAGAAGUAGACUAGUCAUCACUAUUUCUAUGUUUUCAACCGAGAGUUGCAAUGCUUCGGUCCAUGAGGUUGAUGCUAUUGCUACCAGCCUGGAGCACUCUGCUGAGAAAAUGUCUACCUCUACCGCUGAUGGCCACAUUGUUUCAUCCACUGCUGUAGCCAAUCAGAAGGAAACAAGGGGCGGAUUCGUCUCUUCUCUACGGAGACUGUUCACAAGAAAGAACAGGAUGCCUGCUAAAGUGGCUUCCAAGAAGGAGCACAUUCACUUGGUUGACCGCCUCAAUGCUGAAGUCACCCACUGAGGGCACUCACUCACUGCUGAAGGCAUCCAGAAUGAUGCUUCUGUUUCUCCUCAACGCCACCUACACCCCUGCCCCUCUCCCCCACACCAAACCCUACCAGGGUUGGGGUGAAUUCCAGAUAUAUUCAGUCAAUUCAGCAAGUCAACUAAAAUUCCAAUUCCAAUUGUUUCUCAUAGGAGGCAAUGAGGUAAAUUUGAAUUGCUAUUGGAAUUUCAGUUUACUUACUGAAUUGACUGAAUUGAAAAUGAAUUGACCCCAACCCUGAUCCCUAAGCCCCCACCCCAUCCAUUUCUAUCUUCAGUAAACUUUGUAGAAUUUUAUUUGAAUGUGUUUUGGAUCUUCAUUAAAACCCACAAUACAUCUCUAAUGAGGGUCACUCAUGUUACACAUCUAGAUUUAUCAUCAAAUAUCGUAGAAUUCAACAACAAAUGCAGUGGUUUAGCAGUUCAACUUCAGUACUUGUCAAUGAGUAACUGCACUGUGACCUUCAGAAACAUGUAACAUUGUGGAAAAACUGAAAACUUUUGCUGACAUUUGGUUACAAUGUAACUACACUGAACAAAAAUAUUAGCGCAACAUGUAAAGUAUUGGUCCCAUGUUUCAUGAGCUGAAAUAAAAUCCCAGAAGUGUUCCAUAUGUACAAAAAGGUUAUUUCUCUGAAAUGUUGUGUUUACAUC